RNAcentral lists this ribosomal RNA (301 nucleotides) under uncultured bacterium. Its description in RNAcentral is "partial 16S ribosomal RNA". It matches the Rfam family "Archaeal small subunit ribosomal RNA", at positions 459 to 759 of the family's 1478-position model. The record is from RNAcentral.
CAGUAGCCGCGGGAAUACCAGUAGCCCAAGUGGUGGUCGCGAUUAUUGGGCCUAAAACGCUCGUAGCCGGGCCGGUAAGUCCCUUGUGAAAUCGGACGGCCUAACCGUUCGGCGUGCAAGGGAUACUGUCGGUCUUGAGGCCGGGAGACGUCCGAGGUACUCCGGGGGUAGCGGUGAAAUGUUCUGAUCCUCGGGGGACCACCGGUGGCGAAGGCGUUCGACGAGAACGGGCCUGACGGUGAGGGGCGAAGGCUAGGGGAGCAAACGGGAUUAGAUACCCCAGUAGUCCCUGUCUCUUAUU